AGUAGAGUGGCGCAGCGGGAGCAUGCUGGGCUCAUAACCCAGAGGUUGAUGGAUUGAAACCAUCCUCUGCUA
Molecule: transfer RNA, 72 nt
Filed under: Alligator sinensis (Chinese alligator)
Lineage: Eukaryota; Metazoa; Chordata; Crocodylia; Alligatoridae
Rfam family: tRNA
About the family: Transfer RNA (tRNA) molecules are approximately 80 nucleotides in length. Their secondary structure includes four short double-helical elements and three loops (D, anti-codon, and T loops). Further hydrogen bonds mediate the characteristic L-shaped molecular structure. tRNAs have two regions of fundamental functional importance: the anti-codon, which is responsible for specific mRNA codon recognition, and the 3' end, to which the tRNAs corresponding amino acid is attached (by aminoacyl-tRNA synthetases). tRNAs cope with the degeneracy of the genetic code in two manners: having more than one tRNA (with a specific anti-codon) for a particular amino acid; and 'wobble' base-pairing, i.e. permitting non-standard base-pairing at the 3rd anti-codon position.
Source: Rfam by way of RNAcentral